GCCUAUUAGUGGGGGACAACUCGAGGAAACUCGAGCUAAUACCGCAUACGCCCUAAGGGGGAAAGCGGGGGAUCUUUCGGGACCUCGCGCUAAUAGAUGAGCCUAAGCCGGAUUAGCUUGUUGGUGGGGUAAAGGCCUACCAAGGCGACGAUCCGUAGCUGGUCUGAGAGGACGAUCAGCCACACUGGGACUGAGACACGGCCCAGACUCCUACGGGAGGCAGCAGUAGGGAAUAUUGCACAAUGGGCGAAAGCCUGAUGCAGCAAUGCCGCGUGUGUGAAGAAGGCCUUAGGGUUGUAAAGCACUUUCAAUAGUGAAGAAAACACAAGGAUAAUACCC
This 339-nucleotide ribosomal RNA is filed under the name uncultured Pseudomonadota bacterium. Its description in RNAcentral is "bacterial SSU rRNA". It matches the Rfam family "Bacterial small subunit ribosomal RNA", at positions 128 to 465 of the family's 1533-position model. Lineage: Bacteria; Pseudomonadati; Pseudomonadota. The record is from RNAcentral.